UACAGCGGGGGCAAGCGUUGUUCGGAAUUACUGGGCGUAAAGGGCGCGUAGGCGGCCUUCUAAGUCGAACGUGAAAUCCCCGGGCUCAACCCGGGAACUGCGUCCGAUACUGGAAGGCUUGAAUCCGGGAGAGGGAUGCGGAAUUCCAGGUGUAGCGGUGAAAUGCGUAGAUAUCAGGAGGAACACCGGUGGCGAAGGCGGGUCUCUGGGCCGAUACUGACGCUGAGGAGCGAAAGCGUGGGGAGCGAACAGG
RNAcentral lists this ribosomal RNA (253 nucleotides) under uncultured bacterium. Its description in RNAcentral is "partial 16S ribosomal RNA". It matches the Rfam family "Bacterial small subunit ribosomal RNA", at positions 524 to 776 of the family's 1533-position model. The record is from RNAcentral.